GGGGCCGAACUGGAUUCGACCGGACAGGGAACGUGCGUUUGCGGCGCGUCGAGGAGCAUGCUGGCCUCGUAAAAAGCAUGCAACACAAUGAUUGCUAACAGCAAUUACGCUCUCGCUGCCUAACCAUGGCGGCAUGAGCCCCACUGGACGCCUGAUACGGCGGGGCUCAAACGACUUCAGGCUGGCAGAGAUCCGCCGUCCGCGGGGGUCACCUGCGAGAAAACACCGGGGACUGGGCUUGGGGAAAGGGCGCGGGCGCUCGCUCUUCAAGCCGAGAUCAAACCGCCCGAUACACGCGUAGAGGCGCGCACCGACUGCCACGGGACGGGGGUUCGAUUCCCCCCGGCUCCA
This 351-nucleotide transfer-messenger RNA is filed under the name Phycisphaerales bacterium. RNAcentral's name for it is "transfer-messenger RNA, SsrA". It matches the Rfam family "transfer-messenger RNA". Rfam says of the family: Bacterial tmRNA, also known as 10Sa RNA or SsrA, is named for its dual tRNA and mRNA-like properties. Its role is to liberate the mRNA from a stalled ribosome. To accomplish this part of the tmRNA is used as a reading frame that ends in a translation stop signal. The record is from RNAcentral. Lineage: Bacteria; Pseudomonadati; Planctomycetota; Phycisphaerae; Phycisphaerales.